AUUCGAAAGUGUAUCGAAGUAAACGGUGAUCAUUUCGAACAUCUGUAAAAAAAGGCAUACAGAUGACUCCAGGAUGCUCUUAAAACCAGCUUAUACGUUACCAGGACGUAAAGCCACAGAUACACAACAACGCAACUCACUUUGCGUACCACGAAAUGGAGUGCGCAUGAGCGAAGACAGCUACCAUACUAGUAUCGUCAUCUGAACUUUUCUCUCACUUACCCUUUUUAUCACUCUUUCGCUCUUUUUUCAGCAUAUUUUAUUAUGCUUUUAGUGUACUUAGUGAAAAAUAAUUCUUUAUCUGAAUAUACAUUGUACAGUUAUGCAUACAAUUUUUAAAUUAAUUGCAUUGAUACUGAAAAACUGAGAUUUUAUUCUGGAUACAUUGAUAAGUAUAUGUACACUUUGAACUAAACAACGAUUUACAGCAUUAUAGCGCACAAUUGUUACCAUUAUAACAUAAAUAAAUGUUUUUGAUAGUAAGUCA
This is a long non-coding RNA of Ooceraea biroi (clonal raider ant), 487 nucleotides long. RefSeq lists it as uncharacterized. NCBI's taxonomy places the organism in Eukaryota, Metazoa, Arthropoda, Insecta, Hymenoptera, Formicidae. The record is from RefSeq and is a predicted model, not a curated record.